GAUGAUUAUUAUCAAUUCGUCCACGUCCCUGCAAUCUCGUGUGACAGAUCGUGGUCAAAAAUCGAAUCGAUAACAGAAGAGUCGUCGUGACGUGACAUAAAUGAUGGAUCAAGUCGUGUCGAAAAUUGUGAGUGGUGACAAUUUGGCGACAACGUCAGUGCGUCUUUUUAUCCUAAUCACGGUCGUGGCGACGGCAGCGUCGGGAGGAUUGAGGCAACCGUACGGUCGUGUGGGGACAGAGUUGGGGGAUUAUCGGUUGGCAAACGGGGAGCCGUUUGUUACAUUGUAUGAGCAUGAGAACUUUCGAGGCAAGAUAUUUCGCCAACGGGUUCGCCGAGAAUGUUCCAACUUGCCGUUUCGAUAUCUGGAUUGGAGUUCCAGCGUGGCGUUGCAUGGGCGUUGUGUGACCAUGUGUAGCGAGAGGAAUUGUGGGGGGACUUGUGUAAAUUUGUACCCAGACGGUGAGCAAGGGGACAAGGGCGUCAAACGGUUGAACAAUCUCGGAAUCAAUGAUCGCGGUCGAUCCGUCAAGUUCUGUUAUCAACAAAAGUUUCAAAAAUUCUAAGAAAAACAAAAAAUUCCUGAAAAUGGAUAAGCGAAGAAUUUUGGAUUCUUAAGACUUAUUUUCUUUUGAAUCGAGGAUUGAAUUGUGUGGUUUUAGCUUAUUUUUUCGAGUUUUUAGUUACAGGUUUUUAGUCAUAAGAGAAAGUUUGUAAAUAGUUUGAUGUCAAUAUGUGACAUGACAUAAUGUUAGUUUUGAGUUCCUCGUUGAUUUUUUAUGGGUUAUUGUUGCAUGAUGUAGUUCAUAUCCGGUUGUAAUUGAAGACUGAUUAUGGUAGAUGUGUAGUAGUAGUAGUAAAAUUUUAAGAUGUGUAGUUAGUCGUUGGUGAUGGUAGGGAAGUCACGUUUUUUGGUGGUAUAGAUAGAUGGGGGACGCCGUAUGACAUGGUACUACUGGUUUUGGGUUACUAUUUAUCAUCACCGUGUAGCGUGUGGCUGCUUAUUGUGCUCGUGGCGUCACUUUUUUUAUCCAAAGUUUAAAACUUUUUUUACGGCUUGGUUACAUAUUCCUUAUUCUAAUGGUGAGUGGUUAAUGUGUAAUUAUGUUGUUGCUUUUUCUCCUGGUUAGUUAGUUACUUAAUUGCGUGUAUACAUAUGUGCUAGUCUUCUGCUGCUGUAAUAAUUAAUAAUAAAGAAGCGAUGAUGGAAAUUGACUUGAAAAAAGGUCCUGGCAUAAUUUGGAUGGUUUUGAUGAUUUUGUUGGCAGGAGAUAAUUUCUUCCUGUCGCCGCUUCCUUCCUUUUUGGCUUAUUAACCUAUGUAUGUCCUCGUUAUUAAAAGGUAUGUAUCCCCAAUUUUUGCUAGCUCCCCAAUAAAUAAAUACUUGUAAUUUUGGCGAAAUGUUGGACCAGAUUAUUUAUUUAUUCGUUUCAUGAAAAGUGAGCAGUUGAGUUUAUUUCGUUAGUUGGUACGAGUUGUGUCGUAAAUUCUGAGAAAUUGCAGUUGAAUCUAAAUAUUCAUAGGUUUUUGAGAUAAUAAAUUUAACAAGAAAGUCAAAUUCAGAGUUAAAGACUGCAAAAAAAUCGGGAAAAAUCAUAAUUUCGGUUAAUUUUGGUUUCAAACCUUGUUUCAUGAAAGGUGAUUGGACCGACUUGAUUCCGUUUGUGCAGAUUAAUUACAUUACUUUUUCACCGUAUUGAGGAGAUUUUCAGUUGAUACGAAAAUAAGAACGUCUUUAGAGAUAAAUUAAAUUCUGAGUAAAAGACUGCAAAAUAGAAUCGGGAAAAUCGUAAUUUCGAUAAAUUUUGGUUUAAAACCAUGUUUCAUGAAAACUGAUUGUGCAGAUUUAUUAGAUUCCUUAUUAACCGUUUGGCAUGCAAAGAGUUGUAUUUAUAUGUCUUGAACCAUUUUAUCUAUUCAGUUUUUGGGGAUAAUAAAGUUGUUAGAAAAACUUAAAUUCGGAGUAAAGACUGCAAAAAAAAUCGGGAACAAUUUCAAUUUCGAUCAAUUUUGGUUCUCAACCUUGUGCGAUGAAGAUUCCAUUACUAUUUUCAUACUGGACCGACGCCCUCCUUCUUUUGGGCGUGCUCCUCUCCAUCUUUUCCGUGGGUGUGGUCACCUCGGGAAAAAUCUUGGCGAAUGCGCCCCACGUGGAGUUGGACGAUUACAGGCUGGGAUCCACCCGCGGCCUGGGCGACCCUUACGUCAUCCUCUACGAGCGAGAAAACUAUAAAGGACGCGUCCACUAUCACCGGUUGGCGAAGAAGGGUUGUACGAAUGUGGCGGCGUCUCAUGCCAAUUGGGCAUCUUCGAUUGAUCUGCAGCGUCACUGUGUCAAAUUGUGUGACGGGGUGGACUGCGGGGGGAGGUGCGUGAUGGCGGUGGAGGAUCAGGCCCCCAGGGCGGCGAGGGGGGUGGGACAACUGGCCAAAAUCGGGCUUAACGAUGCCGUCAAGUCGGUCAAGUUCUGCUUCUCGUGACGAAAAAAGGGGUCGAAGUUGCUAGUUUUUGUUUGAUUUUGGUUGUUUUUUAUGUCGAUUAUUUUUGUAACUGUGAGAUUAUCUAAUUGAUUAAUUUGUUUGUGUUCCUAUUUUACGCCUUACUUAAUUUACUGAUUGAUUAGUUGAGUGAUUUUUUUUAUUAAAAUGAGUCCAAUCGGUACACGCGUUGUUGGUGAAUUGAAUGACAAAGUGCGUUUUCGAUGCAGAGUUGUUUGGUGACUUUUUAUUUUUUGCUGUGCUGGCCAAACUGCAUUUCCUGUCGAUUGCUUCCUGUGGAUUGACACAUUAAACUUAAUUAUGAAUUGGUCGUAUGUAGAUUUGUUUACACUUUCCUUCCUUGCUUAUCCCCUUCAAAAGGAUGAGAUGCAUGUGCAAUAUGUAAAUUUACACCCAUCAUCGCCCCUUCAAUUUUGUGCGUAAGAGUCACAAAAUAAAUUGUCAAUUGAUUCAUUUUUGCAUCAUUAUUCGUACUCGGAUCUCAAUACAUCUCAGAAUUUGGUUUGUUACGGUUGCCGAUCUCAUCGGGACAAAUUGGACGUUAAAAUUGCACAAUUUUUGCAUAAAUCUGAGGUAAGAUGAGACCGGUAAUGACCAGCAGCCUUAUCAUUGUGCAGCUGAUAAGUGUCGUCGUGAGUGGAAUGAGAUCGGAAAAGUCAGUCCUAUUCCUGGUAGCACAACCACCAAAAAUCCCACUUCCCGUGUCAGCAACGCCAUUCGUGACGUUCUAUGGGGACGAGUUGUUUCGAGGGAAGUAUUAUCAUCACUACUUGAAAGGAGAGUGUACCAAUCUGCCCUCGACGUACGAUAACUGGGCGUCAUCCGUGGAUACGUACGACCGCUGCGUGUAUCUCUGCGACGCCAAGGAUUGCGGUGGCCAGUGUAAACGGGUCCAUGGUCAGACGGUGGAUAGAUUGACGCCGUUCCGACUCAACGAUAAGGUCUCGUCAGUCAAGUUUUGUUAUACGUUUGCGCAGCGGGGGUAAAUACGAAGGGGGAAUAAAGUUAUUGUUUUUUGUAAAUGUUUUAGUUAUUUGUUGUGUGACGCCAAAUAAAAAUUUUUAAAAAAAUUGUGAGGCAUG
Folsomia candida is the source of this 3579-nucleotide RNA transcript. RefSeq lists it as uncharacterized. The transcript is spliced from 5 exons. The record is from RefSeq and is a predicted model, not a curated record. Lineage: Eukaryota; Metazoa; Arthropoda; Collembola; Entomobryomorpha; Isotomidae.